Long non-coding RNA from Homalodisca vitripennis (glassy-winged sharpshooter), 553 nucleotides. RefSeq lists it as uncharacterized. Lineage: Eukaryota; Metazoa; Arthropoda; Insecta; Hemiptera; Cicadellidae. The record is from RefSeq and is a predicted model, not a curated record. The transcript has 3 exons.
UGAUAUCACAACUGUCACGGGAUAUUCAUGGUUUUAUUUUAUACCAUUCAGUAAGACGACGAUAAGCUUCUGACUACAUUCAGUCUCGAUUCACUCGCUCAAGGUAUACAACACAUAAGGAAAUGAUGUUUAAGAAACUUAUCUUUUUCUGCCUGGUGGUAGCGAUAGUUUCGCAGCGAUACAACGGAAGAAGUCUCCAGCUCCAUAGAUACAUCUCCCACAACAUCCAGCAUUGAGAACCCAACUUUAGAAGAACUAACGAAACACGGGGCGAACCCAAAGAAUAAAGGAAUUUCUCUUCGUUCCUCAGACUCGCUUUUCGGACUCGGGAUCGGUGCAAAUCUCCUAGGAGUGCAUGCAGGCGCAGGUAUAGGCCAUGGCCGUGGAGGCUAUGGUGAUAUGGGCCAAGGGUUUGUUGGCAAACCUGCAGGAGGCCAAUACCCACAAUAUCCACAGUAUACAAAUUAUCCAUACCCUACGUAUAUGCAACCACAACCAUACUACCUGCCAGCAGCUCGUCUACACCAGUGAACGUCUCAAGGAAUGCUACUAU